AAUUAACGCUGGCAGAGUGCAUAACACAUGCAAGUCGAGCGAGACUACUUGAGAUUACAUCAACUGGUAGUCUAGCGGCAGACGAGUGAGUAACACGUAGACAAUCUGCCCCCGAAAGGUGAAUAACGCGCCGAAAGGCGUGCUAAUGCGCCGUACUAUCCCAUGGCGGCAUCGUCGAGGGAUGAGAGGCCCGCAAGGGCCGUUCGGGGAGGAGCUGCGACCCAUCAGCUAGUUGGCGGUGUAAUAGACCACCAAGGCUAUGACGGGUACCCGGCCUGAAAGGGCGGACGGGCACGAAGGCACUGAGAUACGGGCCUUACUCCUACGGGAGGCAGCAGUGGGAAUUUUGGACAAUGGGCGAAAGCCUGAUCCAGCAACUCUGCGUGAGGGACGAAGUUCUUCGGAAUGUAAACC
RNAcentral lists this ribosomal RNA (414 nucleotides) under uncultured bacterium. RNAcentral describes it as "bacterial SSU rRNA". It matches the Rfam family "Bacterial small subunit ribosomal RNA", at positions 29 to 431 of the family's 1533-position model. The record is from RNAcentral.